AGAGUUUGAUCCUGGCUCAGAUUGAACGCUGGCGGCAUGCCUUACACAUGCAAGUCGAACGGCAGCACGGGAGCUUGCUCCUGGUGGCGAGUGGCGAACGGGUGAGUAAUAUAUCGGAACGUACCCUAGAGUGGGGGAUAACGUAGCGAAAGUUACGCUAAUACCGCAUACGAUCUACGGAUGAAAGUGGGGGAUCGCAAGACCUCAUGCUCAUGGAGCGGCCGAUAUCUGAUUAGCUAGUUGGUGGGGUAAAAGCUCACCAAGGCGACGAUCAGUAGCUGGUCUGAGAGGACGACCAGCCACACUGGAACUGAGACACGGUCCAGACUCCUACGGGAGGCAGCAGUGGGGAAUUUUGGACAAUGGGCGCAAGCCUGAUCCAGCAAUGCCGCGUGAGUGAAGAAGGCCUUCGGGUUGUAAAGCUCUUUUGUCAGGGAAGAAACGGUUCGGGCUAAUAUCCUGGCUAAUGACGGUACCUGAAGAAUAAGCACCGGCUAACUACGUGCCAGCAGCCGCGGUAAUACGUAGGGUGCAAGCGUUAAUCGGAAUUACUGGGCGUAAAGCGUGCGCAGGCGGUUGUGCAAGACAGAUGUGAAAUCCCCGGGCUCAACCUGGGAAUUGCAUUUGUGACUGCACGGCUAGAGUGUGUCAGAGGGGGGUAGAAUUCCACGUGUAGCAGUGAAAUGCGUAGAGAUGUGGAGGAAUACCGAUGGCGAAGGCAGCCCCCUGGGAUAACACUGACGCUCAUGCACGAAAGCGUGGGGAGCAAACAGGAUUAGAUACCCUGGUAGUCCACGCCCUAAACGAUGUCUACUAGUUGUCGGGUCUUAAUUGACUUGGUAACGCAGCUAACGCGUGAAGUAGACCGCCUGGGGAGUACGGUCGCAAGAUUAAAACUCAAAGGAAUUGACGGGGACCCGCACAAGCGGUGGAUGAUGUGGAUUAAUUCGAUGCAACGCGAAAAACCUUACCUACCCUUGACAUGUCUGGAAUCCUUGAGAGAUCAGGGAGUGCUCGAAAGAGAAUCAGAACACAGGUGCUGCAUGGCUGUCGUCAGCUCGUGUCGUGAGAUGUUGGGUUAAGUCCCGCAACGAGCGCAACCCUUGUCAUUAGUUGCUACGAAAGGGCACUCUAAUGAGACUGCCGGUGACAAACCGGAGGAAGGUGGGGAUGACGUCAAGUCCUCAUGGCCCUUAUGGGUAGGGCUUCACACGUCAUACAAUGGUACAUACAGAGGGCCGCCAACCCGCGAGGGGGAGCUAAUCCCAGAAAGUGUAUCGUAGUCCGGAUUGUAGUCUGCAACUCGACUACAUGAAGUUGGAAUCGCUAGUAAUCGCGGAUCAGCAUGUCGCGGUGAAUACGUUCCCGGGUCUUGUACACACCGCCCGUCACACCAUGGGAGCGGGUUUCACCAGAAGUGGGUAGCCUAACCGCAAGGAGGGCGCUCACCGCGGUGGGAUUCGUGACUGGGGUGAAGUCGUAACAAGGUA
RNAcentral lists this ribosomal RNA (1490 nucleotides) under metagenome. Its description in RNAcentral is "bacterial SSU rRNA". It matches the Rfam family "Bacterial small subunit ribosomal RNA". The record is from RNAcentral.